This 119-nucleotide ribosomal RNA is filed under the name Pteropus alecto (black flying fox). The record is from RNAcentral. Lineage: Eukaryota; Metazoa; Chordata; Mammalia; Chiroptera; Pteropodidae. RNAcentral also lists the same sequence under 1 other name.
GUCUAUGGCCAUGCUACCCUGAACAAACCCAAUCCCUUCUGAUCUCAGAAGCUAAGCAGAGUUGGGCCUAGUUAGUACUUGGAUGGGAGACCACGUAGGAAGACCAGGUGCUAUAGGCU